CACCCGAAGUCGGUGAGGUAACCUUUUUGGAGCCAGCCGCCUAAGGUGGGAUAGAUGAUUGGGGUGAAGUCGUAACAAGGUAGCCGUAUCGGAAGGUGCGGCUGGAUCACCUCCUUUCUAAGGAA
RNAcentral lists this ribosomal RNA (125 nucleotides) under Enterococcus gallinarum. RNAcentral's name for it is "partial 16S ribosomal RNA". It matches the Rfam family "Bacterial small subunit ribosomal RNA", at positions 1418 to 1533 of the family's 1533-position model. The record is from RNAcentral. Lineage: Bacteria; Bacillati; Bacillota; Bacilli; Lactobacillales; Enterococcaceae.